Molecule: long non-coding RNA, 314 nt
Filed under: Physcomitrium patens
Lineage: Eukaryota; Viridiplantae; Streptophyta; Bryopsida; Funariales; Funariaceae
Description: long non-coding RNA (PPAT_LNC014450)
Source: RNAcentral
UUUGAUUCAGAUAUGAGUUAAGAGUUGAUUAAGAAAUGUAUUGUUUUAUUAGAAGUGGGUAGGGAUAGUGUGGUUAAAAUUUCUGUUAUAACAUGUAUUUGUAUUUGUAUAAGUUAAUCUUUUUUAUAUAUCAUAUAUGAAGUAUAUUAUAUUAAGUAACAAGCGUUAUGUGUCACGGACACAAAAUACAGACUUGAUAUCUACCAAGAAGUUCAAGAACAACUAGCAAGAACUAGAUUAAUCAGAUGAAUACAAGAACAACACCAGAGAAGUGAGCUAGAGCUCCAAGAGAUGUGUUGUCGAGACUGAAGAAC